Molecule: small nuclear RNA, 280 nt
Filed under: Saimiri boliviensis boliviensis (Bolivian squirrel monkey)
Lineage: Eukaryota; Metazoa; Chordata; Mammalia; Primates; Cebidae
Description: 7SK RNA (ENSSBOG00000006896.1)
Rfam family: 7SK RNA
About the family: 7SK was discovered as an abundant small nuclear RNA in the mid-70s but a possible function has only recently been suggested. Two independent studies have found that 7SK RNA binds the CDK9/cyclin T complex (known as elongation factor P-TEFb).
Source: RNAcentral
AGCUGAAGGUCUGACCGUGACAUCUGUCACCCCACUGACGGCCAGGGUCGAUCUGGCCGAUCUGCCUAGCCAGGUGUCCCCUUCCAUCCUCACCGCUCCACGUGUCUUACUCUUGCAUGCGCUGCCAAAGAAGAUGACUUUCCUGGAUACAAGAGAACCAUGCUUUGGUCACGGUAUAAUGGUUGCUGUGUUCUCUGGUAGAACCUCCAAACACAACAUCCUAGCUGGGUGUAGUGACUCAAGCCUAUAAUCCCAACUCUUUGGGAAGCUGAGGUGAGAG